AGGGAUGUGGCGCCGCUUGGUAGCGUCUUUGUUUUGGAUAGAAAAUGUCACGGGUUCCAAUCUUGUCAUCCCUA
Corchorus olitorius is the source of this 74-nucleotide non-coding RNA. The record is from Rfam. Lineage: Eukaryota; Viridiplantae; Streptophyta; Magnoliopsida; Malvales; Malvaceae.